GUUUCCACAAUGCUUUUGUUUUGAUUUAUGCAUUUCAUGCCAUGAUUAAAUUAUGUUAUGUUAAAUGUUGCACUGUGGUGAAAUGCCAAAAUGAUCCUACGGGAUAUGCUGGUAAGUUCGGGUAAGCUUAUUAUAUUGUUUACAAUCAUUGAAUCAUUAUGGCAUGCAUAUAGUCAUGUAGUGUUCAUCAUUGCUGCACCCCGGUGUUAGUGCUCCCGGCCCGGGCUAGGGCUAGCCUUCACGUGAUUGUUCACCUUCUGUAUCGAACGCUCGCCUUGGAUCCAAGUUAGGAGCUAGCAUGUCGUACAGGUCGCAUUAGGCGACUCUGACUCAUAGGUGACCGCGCAAAGCGCUAGCUUCACGUGAUCGUAGAACUAAAGCGUAUAUUAUUACACCUAGCCUGUCGUACAAGUCACAUUAGGUGACUCCGACUCGUGUGCUAGCAUAGAUUGAUGAGCCAUAGGUGCAGUGGUACAAGUCAUAUUAGGUGACUCCGACUUGUGUGCUAGUAUCGAUUAUUGAGCAUAUGAUUAUAUUUAUAUUGCUAAUGAGAUACCUUGUUGAGGCAUACUUCUGGAUUUACUGUUAGCAUGCAUUUGAUUUCAUAUGCUCAAUAUUUAGUACAUGAAGUUUUUUUCGUCCCAAAGUCAUACCUGAAGUGUUAAUUUUGGGACAGUCUCAUACAUCUGUUAGUCUGGCUGUUAAGUUUUCCGUUAACUGAUGAUUAGGGUUUCACCAAAGUGAUGGUGGAAGGGGACUCUAAACUCAUCAUUGAUGUUGUGCAAGGUCAAUGGGGAAUUCCUUGGAGAGUCAGCUCUAUAAUCAAUGAUAUUCGUAUCCUAACUCGAUCUUUUAGCCAUGUUGACUGGAAGCACAUUUUCAGGGAGGCAAACUUUGUUGCGGAUGGUUUAGCUCACCUUGGUCUCUCCCUUUUGAAUCCUCAUUAUUGGGAUUUCUAUUUACCUGAUGUUGCUCUUGUUGCCUUUAAUUUUGAUUGUAUUAAAAACGGUUGUACUAGAGGAUUCGUGCUUUAAUGAAUUUCUUUGCAUAAAAAAAAGAAGCAAUAAAUCGCUAAUAUUGAAAAUAAAAGUUUUAAACAGUUGUUUGUGAAAAUUAACUCUAUAGUGGCUAACUUAAACACCCCUGGGCAUUGGCAUAAAUCAAGUCUAGC
This 1171-nucleotide long non-coding RNA is filed under the name Malus domestica (apple). RNAcentral's name for it is "long non-coding RNA (MDOM_LNC003069)". Lineage: Eukaryota; Viridiplantae; Streptophyta; Magnoliopsida; Rosales; Rosaceae. The record is from RNAcentral.